GUAUUGAACUGGCAUGAACUAAUGGGCGAAUUGCAGUGCUAAUCGGCAUGUAUAUCUAAAAAAUAAUACCGUAUGUAUAACAACCCUUUGAAGACUGAAUACUGGAGAACUUGAAAUACCAUCACGCACGUGCAGACGCACCGAUUCCUCGCUCCUGGCCAAUCUACUCGUACGUGCAACGCGAGGGCAAGGUGCACCACCACAGACAUAAUUAUUUCGACGACGACGUCGGGGCCUACCGCGAGCAGAUCAUCAUCAAUGGGUCGGAACCGCAGGCGCCAGCGCCACGAGCUCCCGUAGGAUCGACGGCGCGGGCGGACGACAAUAAAAGCAGUGAAACCGCCGAAACUAUAACCGAGGGAUACUCGUCUGUUGACGCAAUACGCCAUUGAUGUUGUCCUGGCUCUCAAGGACUCCAAGGCCCGCCUGUUCGUGUCGGCAACGCUGGGUGUCUGGAAGUAUGUGGUGGCUGCGCGGAGUAUCCAGAACCUGCCCACCUUUAGCAACAUGACCUGUGAUUCCCGAGAGUUUGUGCCGUUCGCAGAGGUUUGCAAGACAAACUUCACAAUUGGAAAACGCGGCGAAGCUGGGAUUGGCUACGACUACGACUUGAAUAAAUCCACGUGGCGCUCGUAUGAGACGCCGGAAUCCAUUUCUUUCAAGAUUCAACGUGUGUCUCGACGCCUGAAAGACGCCCACGCUGCGGGCAGGGCCGGUUUCUGGGCGUUAUACGAUGUCGAAAUGGACGACUGGGACGGCGAAUGCCACAAUGGUAUUCCGGGAAGCCCGUUAGAAUGUACAAAUUUGCGGAUAUGACGGAACAUGCCUCUAUGCAAGGAAUUACGCACAGCUAGCACGCAAUGUGUGUUAGCUGCUUGCGAAAUAAACUUAUGCGGUACACAUGUUGCCCACACUGCACCCCUACCGACGACUCCCUCAGUGUAACUGAAAUUAAUCUCGAAGGUCAUACUUUAGCGUACUGAAAACCCCGGAAGUGACGUUAUGGCCGCCAUGUUUUGUUUUAAACACUGGGUCCCUGGAAAAAAAGCAUUCUUUUGAUUGUCGCUCAAACUACCCUAAAUGAGAUCGGUAUAUUUAUGCUUGUACGCUUGCGCGCUAUAGCUUCGGGUGCAUUUCAGGCCUUACAAAAACAAAUGUUGACAGCCAUUCUUUAGAGAUCGUACAGAUAUUAUACGUUUGCGAAUGCGUUUUAGAUUUUUUUGUAAAUUUCAUAAAGUAAUAGUUCAUCGUGAAUAUCUCGCAGACUCCUUGACACACAGAAAUAUUGCGCGGAGACCUUAGGCAAAAUCACGUGCAGGGAAACGUAGAUCAAUCUCGUGCCAUAAGACAAUGUGUAGUAUAUCUUGCGCUGCCAAGGUGACAUCUUAACUCUUCGGCAUGUUA
Long non-coding RNA from Dermacentor silvarum, 1404 nucleotides. RefSeq lists it as uncharacterized. The record is from RefSeq and is a predicted model, not a curated record. Lineage: Eukaryota; Metazoa; Arthropoda; Arachnida; Ixodida; Ixodidae. The transcript has 5 exons.